Pelobates cultripes (western spadefoot toad) is the source of this 205-nucleotide non-coding RNA. NCBI's taxonomy places the organism in Eukaryota, Metazoa, Chordata, Amphibia, Anura, Pelobatidae. The record is from the annotation of a GenBank genome assembly.
GAGACUAUGGUCGACGUAACAAUAGGGGGAAUGAGAAGUCCUUUCAUGAUUGAUACAGGUGCUGAACAUUCUGGAAAGACUGUAACUGUGAUAGGAGCUACUGGGAGAAGCACUGCUUGACCGGUUCUCAGGAGUCGCACUUGCAUUUUAGGAGGCCAUUUUGUGAAGGACCAGUUCCUAUAUAUGCCAGAGUGUCCAAUCCAAC